GAUGAACGCUGGCGGCGUGCCUAAUACAUGCAAGUCGAGCGAACGGACGAGAAGCUUGCUUCUCUGAUGUUAGCGGCGGACGGGUGAGUAACACGUGGAUAACCUACCCAUAAGACUGGGAUAACUUCGGGAAACCGGGGCUAAUACCGGAUAAUAUUUUGAACCGCAUGGUUCAAAAGUGAAAGACGGUCUUGCUGUCACUUAUGGAUGGAUCCGCGCUGCAUUAGCUAGUUGGUAAGGUAACGGCUUACCAAGGCAACGAUGCAUAGCCGACCUGAGAGGGUGAUCGGCCACACUGGAACUGAGACACGGUCCAGACUCCUACGGGAGGCAGCAGUAGGGAAUCUUCCGCAAUGGGCGAAAGCCUGACGGAGCAACGCCGCGUGAGUGAUGAAGGUCUUCGGAUCGUAAAACUCUGUUAUUAGGGAAGAACAUAUGUGUAAGUAACUGUGCACACCUUGACGGUACCUAAUCAGAAAGCCACGGCUAACUACGUGCCAGCAGCCGCGGUAAUACGUAGGUGGCAAGCGUUAUCCGGAAUUAUUGGGCGUAAAGCGCGCGUAGGCGGUUUUUUAAGUCUGAUGUGAAAGCCCACGGCUCAACCGUGGAGGGUCAUUGGAAACUGGAAAACUUGAGUGCAGAAGAGGAAAGUGGAAUUCCAUGUGUAGCGGUGAAAUGCGCAGAGAUAUGGAGGAACACCAGUGGCGAAGGCGACUUUCUGGUCUGUAACUGACGCUGAUGUGCGAAAGCGUGGGGAUCAAACAGGAUUAGAUACCCUGGUAGUCCACGCCGUAAACGAUGAGUGCUAAGUGUUAGGGGGUUUCCGCCCCUUAGUGCUGCAGCUAACGCAUUAAGCACUCCGCCUGGGGAGUACGACCGCAAGGUUGAAACUCAAAGGAAUUGACGGGGACCCGCACAAGCGGUGGAGCAUGUGGUUUAAUUCGAAGCAACGCGAAGAACCUUACCAAAUCUUGACAUCCUUUGACAACUCUAGAGAUAGAGCCUUCCCCUUCGGGGGACAAAGUGACAGGUGGUGCAUGGUUGUCGUCAGCUCGUGUCGUGAGAUGUUGGGUUAAGUCCCGCAACGAGCGCAACCCUUAAGCUUAGUUGCCAUCAUUAAGUUGGGCACUCUAAGUUGACUGCCGGUGACAAACCGGAGGAAGGUGGGGAUGACGUCAAAUCAUCAUGCCCCUUAUGAUUUGGGCUACACACGUGCUACAAUGGACAAUACAAAGGGCAGCGAAACCGCGAGGUCAAGCAAAUCCCAUAAAGUUGUUCUCAGUUCGGAUUGUAGUCUGCAACUCGACUACAUGAAGCUGGAAUCGCUAGUAAUCGUAGAUCAGCAUGCUACGGUGAAUACGUUCCCGGGUCU
RNAcentral lists this ribosomal RNA (1372 nucleotides) under uncultured bacterium. RNAcentral's name for it is "bacterial SSU rRNA". It matches the Rfam family "Bacterial small subunit ribosomal RNA", at positions 28 to 1381 of the family's 1533-position model. The record is from RNAcentral.